UGCAAGUCGAGGGGCAGCAUUUUAGUUUGCUUGCAAACUGAAGAUGGCGACCGGCGCACGGGUGAGUAACACGUAUCCAACCUGCCGAUAACUCCGGAAUAGCCUUUCGAAAGAAAGAUUAAUACCGGAUGGCAUACGAAUAUCGCAUGAUAUUUUUAUUAAAGAAUUUCGGUUAUCGAUGGGGAUGCGUUCCAUUAGUUUGUUGGCGGGGUAACGGCCCACCAAGACUACGAUGGAUAGGGGUUCUGAGAGGAAGGUCCCCCACAUUGGAACUGAGACACGGUCCAAACUCCUACGGGAGGCAGCAGUGAGGAAUAUUGGUCAAUGGGCGCGAGCCUGAACCAGCCAAGUAGCGUGAAGGAUGAAGGCUCUAUGGGUCGUAAACUUCUUUUAUAUGGGAAUAAAGUUUUCCACGUGUGGAAUUUUGUAUGUACCAUAUGAAUAAGGAUCGGCUAACUCCGUGCCAGCAGCCGCGGUAAUACGGAGGAUCCGAGCGUUAUCCGGAUUUAUUGGGUUUAAAGGGAGCGUAGGUGGAUUGUUAAGUCAGUUGUGAAAGUUUGCGGCUCAACCGUAAAAUUGCAGUUGAAACUGGCAGUCUUGAGUACAGUAGAGGUGGGCGGAAUUCGUGGUGUAGCGGUGAAAUGCUUAGAUAUCACGAAGAACUCCGAUUGCGAAGGCAGCUCACUAGACUGUUACUGACACUGAUGCUCGAAAGUGUGGGUAUCAAACAGGAUUAGAUACCCUGGUAGUCCACACAGUAAACGAUGAAUACUCGCUGUUUGCGAUAUACAGUAAGCGGCCAAGCGAAAGCAUUAAGUAUUCCACCUGGGGAGUACGCCGGCAACGGUGAAACUCAAAGGAAUUGACGGGGGCCCGCACAAGCGGAGGAACAUGUGGUUUAAUUCGAUGAUACGCGAGGAACCUUACCCGGGCUUAAAUUGCAACAGAAUAUAUUGGAAACAGUAUAGCCGUAAGG
RNAcentral lists this ribosomal RNA (976 nucleotides) under uncultured bacterium. RNAcentral's name for it is "bacterial SSU rRNA". It matches the Rfam family "Bacterial small subunit ribosomal RNA", at positions 56 to 1024 of the family's 1533-position model. The record is from RNAcentral.